This is a long non-coding RNA of Gallus gallus (chicken), 815 nucleotides long. The record is from Ensembl. NCBI's taxonomy places the organism in Eukaryota, Metazoa, Chordata, Aves, Galliformes, Phasianidae.
GUUCCACUUGUGAAAAGCAAUUAUUCCAGGCUUCUCUUGGAAGCGUUUUUUUUGGGCCCCAGUGGUAGAAACCUGAAAUGGGCAAAAACCAAUGCACAAAAUGAGCCCCAUCACUCUCAGCUUGUGUAAGGGGCACCCGGAGGUCUCUAAUUAUACCCCUCAGGAAGACUCACAUGGUGUGCUGGGGUUGGACUGGAUGUUCUUGGAGGUCUUCCCCAACCUCAGUGCUUCUGUGAUUCUAUGGAAAUGGCAGCAGAAUGCAUACAUGUGCUGGGGCUGCCGCUGGGAGCAGCUGCUCAGGCACGUGUGAGCACAGUGCAUAUGUGUGUGCACACGUGUGUGCUCGUGGCCCCUUCGCUCUGUGCCGUGGCACAGCAUCACUCCCACAUCCAACCCAGACUGGAAACUACCUUGGCAAAAUCAUCCUGGAGGAGGCUUUUAGCAGCGUGCAGCAUGGAACGCAUCCAGCACUGUGGUUUUCCAAGGUAACAGCCGAAGAAAAGGAAAAAAAAAAAAGAAAAAAUGGCACCCACUGACAUUCAUCGACAGUUGCUGAACAGUUAUGGAGGCCCAACAGUGGAUGUGAGCACAGUGCUGCUGUGGGUGGUGCAUUUCAGCAGUGACAGUGGAUCACCUCGACUGGUGCAGAUUUAUCCAACGUGGCAUGCAGGCUCUAGUUCACUGCUGGCCAAAAAGCACAGCCAGUGGUGGUGUCUAUGUUGAAAAACAGUGCUUUGUGGCUGAGAAUUUGCUCUGUCUGUUAGUAUUAUUGUGCUCUUUGUAUCUGUUGUAUUUUCUGCGGAAAUAAAUAGGAG